RNAcentral lists this ribosomal RNA (301 nucleotides) under uncultured bacterium. Its description in RNAcentral is "bacterial SSU rRNA". It matches the Rfam family "Bacterial small subunit ribosomal RNA", at positions 9 to 294 of the family's 1533-position model. The record is from RNAcentral.
GAGUUUGAUCCUGGCUCAGGACGAACGCUGGCGGCGUGCCUAAUACAUGCAAGUCGAACGCACGAAGUUGAAGAGCUUGCUCUUUAACCAAGUGAGUGGCGGACGGGUGAGUAACACGUGGGUAACCCGCCCAUUAGAGGGGGAUAACAUUCGGAAACGGAUGCUAAUACCGCAUAGUUUCAGGAAUCGCAUGAUUCUUGAAGGAAAGGUGGCUUCGGCUACCACUAAUGGAUGGACCCGCGGCGUAUUAGCUAGUUGGUGAGGUAAUGGCUCACCAAGGCAAUGAUACGUAGCCGACCUG